GACGAACGCUGGCGGCGUGCUUAACACAUGCGAGUCGAACGGAAAGGCCUGCUUUCCCUUGUGGAUUGCGGGUACUCGAGUGGCGAACGGGUGAGUAACACGUGAGUGAUCUGCCCCCAACUUGGGUAUAAGCCUGGGAAACUGGGUCUAAUUCCCGAUAGGACUGCAGGGUGGUGCCUGUGGUUGAAAACGAUUUUCUAGUGGUUGGGGAUGAGCUCGCGGCCUAUCAGCUUGUUGGUGGGGUAAUGGCCUACCAAGGCGGCGACGGGUAGCCGGCCUGGGAGGGUGGACGGCAGCAGUGGGACUGAGAUACGGCCCAGACUCCUACGGGAGGCAGCAGUGGGGAAUAUUGCACGAUGGGCGGAAGCCUGAUGCAGCGACGCCGCGUGGGGGAUGACGGCCUUCGGGUUGUAACCUCCUUUCGACCGCGAGGAAGCCACCUGGUUGGAAGGGUGGUGACGGUAGUGGUAGAAGAAGCACCGGCUAACUACGUG
Molecule: ribosomal RNA, 494 nt
Filed under: uncultured bacterium
Lineage: Bacteria
Description: partial 16S ribosomal RNA
Rfam family: Bacterial small subunit ribosomal RNA
Source: RNAcentral